RNAcentral lists this ribosomal RNA (252 nucleotides) under uncultured bacterium. RNAcentral's name for it is "partial 16S ribosomal RNA". It matches the Rfam family "Bacterial small subunit ribosomal RNA", at positions 524 to 776 of the family's 1533-position model. The record is from RNAcentral.
UACGGAGGGGGCUAGCGUUGUUCGGAAUUACUGGGCGUAAAGCGCACGUAGGCGGCUUUGUAAGUUAGAGGUGAAAGCCAGAGCUCAACUCUGGAACUGCCUUUAAGACUGCAUCGCUUGAAUCAUGGAGAGGUUAGUGGAAUUCCGAGUGUAGAGGUGAAAUUCGUAGAUAUUCGGAAGAACACCAGUGGCGAAGGCGACUAACUGGACAUGUAUUGACGCUGAGGUGCGAAAGCGUGGGGAGCAAACAGG